RNAcentral lists this RNase P RNA (397 nucleotides) under Nevskiaceae bacterium. RNAcentral describes it as "Sinobacteraceae bacterium RNase P RNA component class A". It matches the Rfam family "Bacterial RNase P class A". From Rfam's summary of the family: Ribonuclease P (RNase P) is a ubiquitous endoribonuclease, found in archaea, bacteria and eukarya as well as chloroplasts and mitochondria. The record is from RNAcentral. Lineage: Bacteria; Pseudomonadati; Pseudomonadota; Gammaproteobacteria; Nevskiales; Nevskiaceae. RNAcentral also lists the same sequence under 1 other name.
GGAGCCGGUCAGACAACCGCCGCCGUGACGGUCACGGGGGAGGAAAGUCCGGGCUCCGCAGGGCAGUGUGCCAGUUAACGGCUGGGCGGCGCGAGCCGACGGAAAGUGCAACAGAGAGCAAACCGCCGAUGGCCCCGCAAGGGGAUCAGGCAAGGGUGAAACGGUGCGGUAAGAGCGCACCGCGAGUCUGGCAACAGACCGGCACGGCAAACCCCACACGGAGCAAGGCCAAAUAGGGAAGGAGCUGUCGCAAGACAGCAGGCGUGGCCCACGUCCCUUCCGGGUAGGCUGCUGGAACCCACCGGUGACGGUGGGUCUAGAGGAAUGGUUGUCCCGGCCGUGGUCGCGCAAGCGGCGGCGGUUAUGACAGAACCCGGCUUAUAGGCCGGCUCCCACU